RNAcentral lists this ribosomal RNA (446 nucleotides) under uncultured bacterium. RNAcentral's name for it is "partial 16S ribosomal RNA". It matches the Rfam family "Bacterial small subunit ribosomal RNA", at positions 338 to 795 of the family's 1533-position model. The record is from RNAcentral.
CCUACGGGUGGCAGCAGUCGAGAAUCAUUCACAAUGGGGGAAACCCUGAUGGUGCGACGCCGCGUGGGGGAAUGAAGGUCUUCGGAUUGUAAACCCCUGUCAUGUGGGAGCAAAUUAAAAAGAUAGUACCACAAGAGGAAGAGACGGCUAACGCUGUGCCAGCAGCCGCGGGAAUACAGAGGUCCUAAGCGUUGUUCGGAAUCACUGGGCGUAAAGCGUGCGUAGGCUGUUUCGUAAGUCGUGUGUGAAAGGCGCGGGCUCAACCCGCGGACGGCACAUGAUACUGCGAGACUAGAGUAAUGGAGGGGGAACCGGAAUGCUCGGUGUAGCAGUGAAAUGCGUAGAUAUCGAGAGGAACACUCGUGGCGAAGGCGGGUUCCUGGACAUUAACUGACGCUGAGGCACGAAGGCCAGGGGAGCGAAAGGGAUUAGAUACCCUAGUAGUC